GUCGAGCGGAACGAGUUAUCUGAACCUUCGGGGGACGAUAACGGCGUCGAGCGGCGGACGGGUGAGUAAUGCCUAGGAAAUUGCCCUGAUGUGGGGGAUAACCAUUGGAAACGAUGGCUAAUACCGCAUGAUGCCUACGGGCCAAAGAGGGGGACCUUCGGGCCUCUCGCGUCAGGAUAUGCCUAGGUGGGAUUAGCUAGUUGGUGAGGUAAGGGCUCACCAAGGCGACGAUCCCUAGCUGGUCUGAGAGGAUGAUCAGCCACACUGGAACUGAGACACGGUCCAGACUCCUACGGGAGGCAGCAGUGGGGAAUAUUGCACAAUGGGCGCAAGCCUGAUGCAGCCAUGCCGCGUGUGUGAAGAAGGCCUUCGGGUUGUAAAGCACUUUCAGUCGUGAGGAAGGUAGUGUAGUUAAUAGCUGCAUUAUUUGACGUUAGCGACAGAAGAAGCACCGGCUAACUCCGUGCCAGCAGCCGCGGUAAUACGGAGGGUGCGAGCGUUAAUCGGAAUUACUGGGCGUAAAGCGCAUGCAGGUGGUUUGUUAAGUCAGAUGUGAAAGCCCGGGGCUCAACCUCGGAAUAGCAUUUGAAACUGGCAGACUAGAGUACUGUAGAGGGGGGUAGAAUUUCAGGUGUAGCGGUGAAAUGCG
Molecule: ribosomal RNA, 649 nt
Filed under: Vibrio azureus
Lineage: Bacteria; Pseudomonadati; Pseudomonadota; Gammaproteobacteria; Vibrionales; Vibrionaceae
Description: bacterial SSU rRNA
Rfam family: Bacterial small subunit ribosomal RNA
Source: RNAcentral